Molecule: ribosomal RNA, 400 nt
Filed under: phytoplankton environmental sample
Lineage: Eukaryota
Description: partial small subunit ribosomal RNA
Rfam family: Eukaryotic small subunit ribosomal RNA
Source: RNAcentral
AGCUCCAAUAGCGUAUAUUAAAGUUGUUGCAGUUAAAAAGCUCGUAGUUGGACUUGUGGUUGGGGCGGCCGGUUCGGCACUCUGUGCGGAUACUCGGCCUCCCCGGCCAUCCUUGGGUGGAAGCUGUGUGGCAUUAGGUUGUCGUGCAGGGGAUGCCCAUCUUUUACUGUGAAAAAAUUAGAGUGUUCAAAGCAGGCUUAUGCCGUUGAAUAUAUUAGCAUGGAAUAAUGAGAUAGGACCUUGGUACUAUUUUGUUGGUUUGCGCACCGGGGUAAUGAUUAACAGGGACAGUUGGGGGUAUUCGUAUUCCAUUGUCAGAGGUGAAAUUCUUGGAUUUCUGGAAGACGAACUACUGCGAAAGCAUUUACCAAGGAUGUUUUCAUUAAUCAAGAACGAAAGU